Molecule: ribosomal RNA, 250 nt
Filed under: uncultured prokaryote
Description: partial 16S ribosomal RNA
Rfam family: Bacterial small subunit ribosomal RNA
Source: RNAcentral
UACGGAAGGUCCGGGCGUUAUCCGGAUUUAUUGGGUUUAAAGGGAGCGCAGGCGGUCCUUUAAGCGUGACGUGAAAUGCGGCGGCUCAACCGUCGAGCUGCGUCGCGAACUGGGGGACUUGAGUGCACUGGAGGAUGGCGGAAUUCGUGGUGUAGCGGUGAAAUGCUUAGAUAUCACGAAGAACCCCGAUUGCGAAGGCAGCUGUCCGCGGUGUUACUGACGCUCAUGCUCGAAAGUGCGGGUAUCGAAC